AAACGACUGCUAAGACUGGAUAGGAGAUAAGAAGGCAUCUUCUUAUUUUUAAAAGACCUAGCAAUAGGUAUGCUUAAGGAGGGGCUUGCGUCACAUUAGUUAGUUGGUAGGGUAAAAGCCUACCAAGACGAUGAUGUGUAGCCGGGCUGAGAGGCUGAACGGCCACAUUGGAACUGAGACACGGUCCAAACUCCUACGGGAGGCAGCAGUAGGGAAUUUUCGGCAAUGGAGGAAACUCUGACCGAGCAACGCCGCGUGAACGAUGAAGUAUUUCGAUACGUAAAGUUCUUUUAUUAGGGAAGAAAAGAUGGUGGAAAAACCAUUAUGACGGUACUUAAUGAAUAAGCCCCGGCUAACUAUGUGCCAGCAGCCGCGGUAAUACAUAGGGGGCGAGCGUUAUCCGGAAUUAUUGGGCGUAAAGGGUGCGUAGGCGGUUUAAUAAGUUUAUGGUCUAAGUGCAAUGCUUAACAUUGUGAUGCUAUAAAAACUGUUUGACUAGAGUUGGAUAGAGGCAAGUGGAAUUCCAUGUGUAGCGGUAAAAUGCGUAAAUAUAUGGAGGAACACCAUGAGCGAAGGCGGCUUGCUGGGUCUUAACUGACGCUGAGGCACGAAAGCGUGGGGAGCAAACAGGAUUAGAUACCCUGGUAGUCCACGCCGUAAACGAUGAGUACUAGACGUUGGGUUAAACCAGUGUCGAAGUUAACACAUUAAGUACUCCGCCUGAGUAGUACGUACGCAAGUAUGAAACUUAAAGGAAUUGACGGGACUCCGCACAAGCGGUGGAUCAUGUUGUUUAAUUCGAAGGUACCCGAAAAACCUCACCAGGUCUUGACAUGCUUCUGCAAAGCUGUAGAAAUACAGUGGAGGUCAUCAGUUGCACAGGUGGUGCAUGGUUGUCGUCAGCUCGUGUCGUGAGAUGUUGGGUUAAGUCCCGCAACGAGCGCAACCCUUGUUGUUAAUUGCCAUCAUUAAGUUGGGGACUUUAGCAAGACUGCCAGUGAUAAAUUGGAGGAAGGUGGGGACGACGUCAAAUCAUCAUGCCCCUUAUGACCUGGGCUACAAACGUGAUACAAUGGCUGUUACAAAGGGUAGCUAAAGCGCAAGCUUUUGGCAAAUCUCAAAAAAACAGUCUCAGUUCGGAUUGAAGUCUGCAACUCGACUUCAUGAAGUUGGAAUCGCUAGUAAUCGCGAAUCAGCAUGUCGCGGUGAAUACGUUCUCGGGGUUUGUACACACCGCCCGUCAAA
This 1245-nucleotide ribosomal RNA is filed under the name 'Balclutha hebe' phytoplasma Bh-Br01. RNAcentral's name for it is "bacterial SSU rRNA". It matches the Rfam family "Bacterial small subunit ribosomal RNA", at positions 154 to 1401 of the family's 1533-position model. The record is from RNAcentral. Lineage: Bacteria; Bacillati; Mycoplasmatota; Mollicutes; Acholeplasmatales; Acholeplasmataceae.